CUACGGGGGGCUCCAGUGAGGAAUAUUGCACAAUGGGGGGAACCCUGAUGCAGCAACGCCGCGUGGAGGAUGACGCAUUUCGGUGUGUAAACUCCUUUUAUAUGUCAAGAAAAUGACGGUAGCAUAUGAAUAAGCACCGGCUAACUCCGUGCCAGCAGCCGCGGUAAUACGGAGGGUGCAAGCGUUACUCGGAAUCACUGGGCGGAAAGGACGCGUAGGCGGGUUGGAAAGUCAGGUGUGAAAUCCUACAGCCUAACUGUAGAACUGCACUUGAAACUUCUAAUCUAGAGUAUGGGAGGGGGAGAUGGAAUUAGUGGUGUAGGGGUAAAAUCCGUAGAUAUCACUAGGAAUACCUAAAGCGAAGGCGAUCCCCUGGAACAUUACUGACGCUAAGGCGUGAAAGCGUGGGGAGCAAACAGGAUUAGAUAUCCCCGUAGUC
Molecule: ribosomal RNA, 439 nt
Filed under: uncultured bacterium
Lineage: Bacteria
Description: partial 16S ribosomal RNA
Rfam family: Bacterial small subunit ribosomal RNA
Source: RNAcentral